RNAcentral lists this ribosomal RNA (429 nucleotides) under uncultured bacterium. RNAcentral's name for it is "bacterial SSU rRNA". It matches the Rfam family "Bacterial small subunit ribosomal RNA", at positions 29 to 506 of the family's 1533-position model. The record is from RNAcentral.
ACGAACGCUGGCGGCAGGCUUAACACAUGCAAGUCGAGCGCCCCGCAAGGGGAGCGGCAGACGGGUGAGUAACGCGUGGGAAUCUACCGAGCCCUACGGAAUAACGCAUGGAAACGUGUGCUAAUACCGUAUACGCCCUACGGGGGAAAGAUUUAUCGGGGUUUGAUGAGCCCGCGUUGGAUUAGCUAGUUGGUGGGGUAAAGGCCUACCAAGGCGACGAUCCAUAGCUGGUCUGAGAGGAUGAUCAGCCACAUUGGGACUGAGACACGGCCCAAACUCCUACGGGAGGCAGCAGUGGGGAAUAUUGGACAAUGGGCGCAAGCCUGAUCCAGCCAUGCCGCGUGAGUGAUGAAGGUCUUAGGAUUGUAAAGCUCUUUCACCGGAGAAGAUAAUGACGGUAUCCGGGGAAGAAGCCCCGGCUAACUUCGU